UCUCCAUGGUUCCACUGAAAUCAUACAUGGAAGUAACAGGUUAUUUCAGUCAUGCCUGCAUGAUGCCCGUCUCAUGGUUGGCUGCUUGGGCUGUAAUAGAGUGAGGAGAGAGGGAAGGUCAGUUCCUGCUACAAAGCGUCAUGUUCCUCCAUUACUGAGCUUCUUUUAAGGGGGCUGCCUGUGGUGGAGGGGAGGGAGCAGUAGGUAAUGCUUUGCUACAGUUUGCUAGGAGGUAUUCAGAGCUUUAGGGUAUGCAUGACAAUUCUUCUUAGGGCAUAAAUAUUUUCUUAAAUAUUUAGGGGAAAAUUGUAGUAUAAUUAUUUAUUGAAACAUUUAUGUUUUGUUUUGGAGGCAGUUGUAGGAUUAGAAACAGUGAGAACUAUUUGUAUAUUUUUCUGAAUUUGGAGAAGGUCAUUGUGUUUCCUUUUUGUGGUAUUAAUAACAUCUUGAAGAUAAUCUAUUGAGUUGGAUAAUCUAUUGGUCAUUUGGAAUGAACUUUUUGGCCAACCCAAUAUUUUCUGUUUUUUUUUUUUUUUUCUUCAAAACCUGGAACUCUGAAAUUAUGCUAAAGUUACGGGUGUGUGUGUGUGUAUGGGGCUGGAGGACUGUGGAGAAGAGGGUGGAAGUGGUGAGAGAGGGGAAAAUCCCGGAACCUGGGAAGAGAGGGAGAGGUAUGAGGGGGCCCAACUGGGAGCUUACAGAUCUGCAGAAGGGCUCCAACUUUGGCAAAAAUCCCAGCAGGGGCCAGGCUGAGGCUUAGCAGAGAAAGUGUGGAGCUUCCCGAUGUCCUAACUCCACGGGUCACGCAUAGCUGGACAAUGGAUUGAUUAAUGGUGAACAGUACAAGCCAGCAACUAGAGGCUUUCCCAAAUAUUCUGUCAUAAACACCCAGGACUUUGAUAAGACCCUAGAGGAGCUGAUGUGGGUAGAGAUUUAUAGGCCUGAAUAAGGUUAUUUCCUACCAAUCUGGCAGGGGAAAGAGGAGAAGGAGGCCUGCAUUCAAUUUAACUUUAUAGAAAAAAUUUUUGGUAAUUGUUGAAAAAUUGUAUAUUAUCAUCUAUCAUUAUGUAACAAAUUACUGCAAGUUUUAGCAUGUUAGUACAGUCAACCCAAUGCUCAGCUGGGCGCUUCUGGCUCGGGGUGUCUCUUGAGGCUACAGUCGAGGUAUCAGCUCUGGGAGAAGUCAUCUCAGGGCCUGAGAGGGGAGGACCUGGUCCUCAGUAGGCUCAUGUGGCUGUAGGCAGGCCUCCGGUCUCCUGUGGGUGUUGGCUGGGGAUGCUGCAUUCUUGCCCUGUGGUCCCUUGCACAGGGCUGUGUUCACAGGAGGGCAACUGAUUCCCUCAGAGCAAAGAGGGAGAGAAAAAGAGAGAGAGAGAGACAGAGAGAGAGAGGGAGGGAGGAAAGGAAACUGGGAAAAGGAAAAGACAAGAUAAGAUGGGGGAGAGAGAAAGAAAUAGAUCCUAGACAGAAGUAUAGUGUUUUCAAAGUCCAGUCUCAGAAAUGACAGUCCACGGCUUUCUCCAGUUUUAUUAAUUAGAAGCGAGUCCACAGACUUAUCGU
This is a long non-coding RNA of Bos grunniens (domestic yak), 1560 nucleotides long. Lineage: Eukaryota; Metazoa; Chordata; Mammalia; Artiodactyla; Bovidae. The record is from Ensembl.